GACGAACGCUAGCGGCGUGCUUAACACAUGCAAGUCGAACGGUAAGGCCCUUCGGGGUACACGAGUGGCGAACGGGUGAGUAACACGUGGGUGAUCUGCCCUGCACUUCGGGAUAAGCCUGGGAAACUGGGUCUAAUACCGGAUAGGACCCUGGGAUGCAUGUCCUGGGGUGGAAAGCUUUUGCGGUGUGGGAUGGGCCCGCGGCCUAUCAGCUUGUUGGUGGGGUGAUGGCCUACCAAGGCGACGACGGGUAGCCGGCCUGAGAGGGUGACCGGCCACACUGGGACUGAGAUACGGCCCAGACUCCUACGGGAGGCAGCAGUGGGGAAUAUUGCACAAUGGGCGCAAGCCUGAUGCAGCGACGCCGCGUGAGGGAUGACGGCCUUCGGGUUGUAAACCUCUUUCAGCAUCGACGAAGCGAAAGUGACGGUAGGUGCAGAAGAAGGACCGGCCGACUACGUGCCAGCCGCCGCCGUAA
This 478-nucleotide ribosomal RNA is filed under the name uncultured bacterium. Its description in RNAcentral is "partial 16S ribosomal RNA". It matches the Rfam family "Bacterial small subunit ribosomal RNA", at positions 28 to 523 of the family's 1533-position model. The record is from RNAcentral.